Molecule: non-coding RNA, 30 nt
Filed under: Homo sapiens (human)
Lineage: Eukaryota; Metazoa; Chordata; Mammalia; Primates; Hominidae
Source: RNAcentral
UGGAACACAAAGUGCCACACAACGCAGCCU